UUUCCGUAGGUGAACCUGCGGAAGGAUCAUUAUUGUAUAACCGAGGUGCGAGGGCUGUCGCUGACCCGAAAGGUCGUGCACGCCCGAGGGCCCUCACACACAUCCAUCUCACCCCUAUGUGCACCACCGCGUGGGUCCCCCUUUGGCUUGUUCGGCGGGGGGCUUACGUUUUCACACAAACUUUGUAUGCAGUGUAGAAUGUAUUUUUUGUUUUUGCGAUCACGCAAUCAAUACAACUUUCAACAACGGAUCUCUUGGCUCUC
RNAcentral lists this unclassified non-coding RNA (263 nucleotides) under plant metagenome. Its description in RNAcentral is "partial contains small subunit ribosomal RNA, internal transcribed spacer 1, and 5.8S ribosomal RNA". The record is from RNAcentral.